Molecule: non-coding RNA, 3746 nt
Organism: Zonotrichia albicollis (white-throated sparrow)
Lineage: Eukaryota; Metazoa; Chordata; Aves; Passeriformes; Passerellidae
Source: RefSeq, a predicted model, not a curated record
GCCUGGCAGGAUGCUGGACUUGUCCUGUCCACGAGCAGCAAUGAAGCCUGUAAGCUCUUUGAUGCUGUGCUGACCCAGUAUGCAACUUGGACCAAUAAUGAGAGCCUUGGAGGUAUUGAAGAAUGUCUCUCCAAGCUAAAAGCAGCAGAUCCAAACUUUACCAUGGGACACGUCCUUGCCAAUGGCUUAGAGCUGAUUGGCACUGGAAGGAGUGUGAGGCUCGACAGGGAGCUGGGCAGCGCCGUCACAGCCAUGGUGGCACUUUCCAAGGCACAGCCGCUGACAGAGAGGGAGAGGCUCCAUGUGUCAGCGCUGGACGUGUUUGCCAGGGGCCAACUUCCAAAAGCUUGUGAGCUAUGGGAGCAGAUUCUGCAGAGCCACCCCACUGACCUGCUGGCCCUCAAGUUUUCCCAUGACACUUAUUUCUACCUGGGGUACCAACGCCAGAUGAGAGAUUCUGUUGCCCGUGUUUAUCCUUUCUGGACUCCUGAUGUUCCUCUGAGCAGCUAUGUGAAGGGCUACUACUCCUUUGGACUGGUGGAAACAAACCUUUAUGACCGUGCUGAGAAGGUUGCCCAUGAGGCUUUGGCUAUAAAUCAGACAGAUGCAUGGUCUGUCCAUACCAUAGCUCAUGUCAAUGAAAUGAAAGCUGAGGUGGAGAAAGGCUUAAAAUUCAUGAAGGAAACAGAAAAGAACUGGAAGAGCAGUGAUAUGCUUGCUUGCCAUAAUUACUGGCACUGGGCUUUAUACUACAUUGAAAAGGGGGAAUAUGAAGCUGCUUUGACAAUUUAUGACAAGCAUAUUGCUCCUGUGUGCCUGGCAAGUGGAAGCAUCCUGGAUAUAGUUGAUAACUGUUCAAUGCUGUACAGGCUUCAUCUGGAAGGUGUAAAGCUUGGGGACAGGUGGAAUGAUCUGCUUGGGGUUACAAAGAAGCACACCAAGGAUCACAUUCUUCUGUUCAAUGAUGUGCACUACUUGAUGUCUUUCCUUGGAGCCAAAGACCACAAAACUACUGAGGAGCUUUUAACAACUCUGCAGGAACUGGCCAGAGCACCUCAUGAAGACCACCAGCUUUCCCUGGCUCCUCAUUUGGGGCUGCCACUGUGCCAGGCUUUUGUGGAGUUUGAAAAUGGGAAUUGUGACAAAGCUGUAGAUCUGCUCUACCCAAUCCGUUACGAACUGGUCCAAGUGGGAGGCAGUGAUGCUCAGAGAGAUGUUUUCAGCCUGUUAUUGAUUCAUGCUGCUUUAAAUUCUAAAUCAGAGACCAAACGAAACCUUGCAAGGUGCCUCCUGCACGAACGUGACCUGCUGAGACCCAAGUCCCCAAUGACGGAGCGACUGAUCAGGAAGGCAGCAGCUGUGCAUUCCAUGGCAUAGGGCUUUCCUCCAGCUUCAGCUGCAAGAGCCAGGAGCUUCCCACAAAGCCUGGGAGCAGGGAGUGCAGGGGUGCUGUGAAGGAAUUCAGGGAGGUACUCAAGCGUAAAAGAUUUGAGAAUUAUUUCCUUAAAAAAAGACAGCUGUUGCAUUUCUGGAGGUUGUGCCUUAGAUGAUUCCACAAGGAAAGAAGAAAACUUGCUGAUAAUGCAAGCAAAACUUGCUGACAAAGCUUUCUGGAGCAUCCCAAAGGCACUGCUGCUCUGUGGCCAGAAGCACGCAGCAGUGGAGAGCAGCAGUAUCUGUGUUCGCACAGGUCACAGCCCAAGCAUUAGGAGGAGGCUGAGGUGCCACAAGGUGGGUGAACCAUUGUUUCUUUCUCAUCCUCCUGCAUUCAGAGUAUGCAUUUUCCACCUUUCCUCCCCCUUCAGCUCAGUUACCCAGACUGCAGCUCUCAUCCCCAGUCCCGCCCUCUGAUGGAAAAGCCAAAGCCUUGCGCACCAGAGAGCUGCGUCCAUCCCUGCUGCAGGGUGGGUUGGACCAUGAACAGCUCUGCAUUCCUGUACUGCUCUGUCCCUACUCUGUGUGUGGUGCUCUGGACUGAUCCUAAGCUGUCAGCAUCUCACUGGCACCCUCCCCACCCAGCCAUGGCGCUUUCUCCAGGUGCCUGAUUUAGAGUCUUUCAAAGUUACUCAUCUGCAUAUUAAAGCAGUACAUCCCUAGAACCUCUCAAUAUCUCACUACUUCAAGAUUUAAGACCAACAGUUCUGCCACUACCUCACUUAAUUCUUUCACCUUUUCUUAGGACUUCAUUUACUGCUCAGAGCAGCUGUUUAAUUACAUGAAAUCUAACCAAACUGCCCCACCACUUUAAUACUGAACAUCUCCUAGUUAGGAAGUUAACGUACAGAAAUAUUCCCUCCUUAGCAGUUAGCUAAACACCCACCCUACCAUAGCAGACUAAGUGUGCAAUUCCCUGAUAUAGAAACACCAAAUGAACACAGGGAAUGCAGGCAGGAGCUGGUUCACUCAGCAUAUUUAGUCUUGCCAUGUUUAUGUAAAGACAAACUGCACACUGAAAGUGCCUGAACACAGGGUUUAUUUGCAAAUACAGCAAGCUCAGUAAUUCAGAAAUUCUACAGGCAAACGAGAAAGAAAGAUCUUUAAAAUUGAUAAAAUCUUCUCCACGUGUUUUGAUUUAGUUCUAAGUCAUUUCAGUAAGAUUUUCUGGAUUUAUCUUCUCCGUUCCUCUUGGGAAGAACUUGUUAUCUUUGAGUGAUUGACAGAUUUCUAACACAGAUGCAAAAACCUCACAGGCUAUUUGCUUUCUGUAAAGCUUAUUCGAAAUAAAAAUUACUGCUCCUCUGUCCUCACUCACAGCUUCCCCUCUGAACAGCUAAACUGCCUGAAUAUGGCAUUUUGUACAGAGGGCCUUCAGUUUGAUCCACUUACAGACUCCCUGCUAACAUCCAGGAGAAAUUGCAGAGGUUUCUGACCCAGGAUCACCCCCAAAUCAGAAAGAGGACUCUCACUUGUCAGCACCCUGCCCCAUGCAAGUGGGCAGCAGAACAUGCAGGCAGUGCCUUGGGACAGUUCUACCACUGGCCUCAGGAGAACCUAACUGGUCUCUCUUGGUUCCAUUCUAAUCUGAAAAAAACGAAAAUUACUGCACAAACAGGACAGAACAUCUCCAUGAUCCUUAAGGAAUUUCUCCUGUCCUACUGUGCUACGUGGCCACACCCACUGGAAAGCCUGGCUCCUUGGGACACAGCCUUUGUGUCCUUGUGCCAUUAGCUGCAGCCAAACCACCACAUUUUGGUAUCUGCUUACUCACAUGUGGUGGCUUUCACAGUUUCAGCUGAGCUCUGCUUUUGUGUAGGUUACAGCAAGUUACUGCUCAUUUCCACAAGGAAUCUGAUCCAACAGCUUUCUGAUCCAUCUGCCAUUGUACAGAUGAAAACUCUUGAGAACUAACAACAUGGAUUUACAAUAUGCUGUUUCUUUUUUUGUUUAUCAUUUUAACUCAAAACAUGUACCAGCAUUAACAAGCAGUGCUUUGAAAACAAACUCAAGUCAUUAUUACCUACACUGAGUUGUUUAUAGUAAUGAUAGCUGAGAGGAUCAAGAACAGGUGAAUUCUGCACUGAAAAGAAUUUCUGGCUACUAAACACCUGACAGCUUCCUUUAAAACUACUGCAGUGUUAAUUUUUCUUUUAACUGUUUGCAAAGAGAAGUCCUCUCUAUUUUUUUAGAUGAUGCAUUUGCAAUUAUUUGCCCACAGCAGUCAUAACAUUCAAUUUCCCAUCCCACAAUUCUGAUUUUUCUGCUAUGGUUAUCAAAAUGUCUGUGCUUCAUUUAAGAGAGGAACAGAA